Molecule: non-coding RNA, 303 nt
Organism: Homo sapiens (human)
Lineage: Eukaryota; Metazoa; Chordata; Mammalia; Primates; Hominidae
Source: Rfam
CCCGGGCAUGGUGGCGCACGCCUGUAAUCCCAACUACUCGGAGGCUGAGGCAGGAGAAUCGCUAGAACCCAGGAGGCGGAGGUUGCAGUGAGCCCAGAUCGUGCCACUGCACUCCAGCAUGGGUGACAGAGCAAGACUCUGUCUCAAAAAAAAAAAAAAAUUGUUUCUUCAAUAAUUUUGUUGUUGUUGUUGUUUUGAUUUUGAGACAGAGUCUCACUCUGUCACCAGGCUGGAGUGUUGUGGCAAGAUCUCGGCUCACUGCAACCUCCACCUCCUGGGUUCAAGCGAUUCUCCUGCCUCAGU